CUGAAGCUUUCAGCGAACAUGUACUGUUUACUUCCGCUAACGAAGUUAACCGAGAACGGCUAACGUUACGUUAGCUUUAUUGAACUACCAAGGCGGGAAUGUCGCUAAAACAAUGAUGUGCUUGUUUUUCCUCUUUUUUCAACAUACAGCGGUUCGUAAACUUUUCUGUUUUAAACGCAUGUAUCGUUUUGCUUUGGGCAAUUUUCCAAGCAUAAUCGCUAGUCAAAUGUAAAGCACCAGGGCCCAGUGUGCAGGCUAGCUUGCUGGCUAUAGCCACCUCUAUGAAUUAUAUAUUGAAGGAUGCUCUAGCAAAGGCGGUGGAGUGGGUGGUAACGUUACCCCCCUCCCCGCCAACCCAAGGCCAUAUAAAACAGGGAUUGCUGUGUUUGGGAACAACUUCACGUGCGGUAAGUCGCUAUUAGUGAGUGAUUUUUUUCCUCUCCCAUCUGUCACGGGUGUCCGUUGCAAUCUUGUUUAGGAUGGGGUGAAUGUUGAUUACAUUCGUUUUGGAACAGGGAUGCAUUCCGUUCUUCUGCCAGAUGCCCCUUAUGUGGCGGUCUGACGAAGUCGGCUCCAAACAAAAAUGACGUAAUAAACACGUGGAGUAAUAGGUAAAAUCGGUGCAUUCAAGAAGCCUCUGAUACAGAUGGUGAGAAGGAAGCCCCAUCAGUCAGCCAACCCACCUACACUACAUAGGAACCCUGGCUUCAUCAGUCUACAUGUAUGUUUUUAGUCUUGUGUAUGUCAGUACCUACAGUAUGAUGUUCCACCCCUAUUUUAAUCAGGUCUUUGUUCCGCAAGUCCCCGCUAGACCUUGGCCCCAGCAGAUGUCAACACCACAAGCCAUUUUAAGAAGCCACCAGACACACCAGGGAGAAAUGUGGAGGGUGUGGACAUCCUUUGCCAAGGAUGGACGCCUUCCUUUUCUCUCCUCCUCUGUCAUGAUAAUCGGAGGCCUCCUUCCACAGUUUUAACCCUUAAGUGAACAUUUACUUUUAAAUAUAAGAAAACAUUAACUAAACAUUUUACUGUUUAGAAUGAAAAGAUAUGUCCAGUGUGGGGCUCAAAUUCUUAUUUCAGUAAUAUUCAAAUUCAAGAACAUUUUGCUAAUAAA
This is a long non-coding RNA of Esox lucius (northern pike), 1114 nucleotides long. The record is from Ensembl. NCBI's taxonomy places the organism in Eukaryota, Metazoa, Chordata, Actinopteri, Esociformes, Esocidae.